AGGACGAACGCUGGCGGCGUGCUUAACACAUGCAAGUGGAGCGACGAACCAGGGCUUGCCCUGGGGCAGAGCCGCGAACGGGUGAGUAACACGUGGGUUACCUGCCUCGAUGACCGGGACAACCCGAGGAAACUCGGGCUAAUACCGGAUGUGCCCGCAAGGGGAAAGGAAGCUUCGGCCUCCGCAUCGAGAUGGGCCCGCGGCCCAUUAGCUUGUUGGUGAGGUAACGGCUCACCAAGGCUUCGAUGGGUAGCUGGUCUGAGAGGACGAUCAGCCACACUGGGACUGAGACACGGCCCAGACUCCUACGGGAGGCAGCAGUGGGGAAUCUUGCGCAAUGCGCGAAAGCGUGACGCAGCAACGCCGCGUGGGGGAAGAAGGCUUUCGGGUGUAAACCCCUUUCAGUUGGGACGAAGCUUCUCCGGUGAAUAGCCGGAUGGAGUGACGGUACCUUCACAAGAAGCACCGGCUAACUACGUGCCAGCAGCCGC
RNAcentral lists this ribosomal RNA (491 nucleotides) under uncultured bacterium. RNAcentral describes it as "SSU rRNA". It matches the Rfam family "Bacterial small subunit ribosomal RNA", at positions 26 to 518 of the family's 1533-position model. The record is from RNAcentral.